CCUACGGGUGGCAGCAGUGAGGAAUAUUGGUCAAUGGACGAGAGCCUGAACCAGCCAAGUAGCGUGAAGGAUGACUGCCCUAUGGGUUGUAAACUUCUUUUAUAUGGGAAUAAAAUGUUCCACGUGUGGGAUUUUGUAUGUACCAUAUGAAUAAGGAUCGGCUAACUCCGUGCCAGCAGCCGCGGUAAUACGGAGGAUCCGAGCGUUAUCCGGAUUUAUUGGGUUUAAAGGGAGCGUAGGUGGAUUGUUAAGGCAGGUGUGAAAGUUUGCGGCUCAACCGUAGAAUUGCAGUUGAAACUGGCAGUCUUGAGUACAGUAGAGGUGGGCGGAAUUUGUGGUGUAGCGGUGAAAUGCUUAGAUAUCACGAAGAACUCCGAUUGCGAAGGCAGCUCACUGGACUGCAACUGACACUGAGGCUCGAAAGUGUGGGUAUCAAACAGGAUUAGAUACCCGAGUAGUC
This 460-nucleotide ribosomal RNA is filed under the name uncultured bacterium. RNAcentral's name for it is "partial 16S ribosomal RNA". It matches the Rfam family "Bacterial small subunit ribosomal RNA", at positions 338 to 795 of the family's 1533-position model. The record is from RNAcentral.